AUGGGUACAAUUUUAACCCNUUUAACGAGUAUNUAUGAGAGGGCAAGUCUGGUGCCAANCANCCGCGGUAAUUCCAGCUCUCAAAGUGCAUAGAAUUAUUGCUGCGGUUAAAAAGCUCGUAGUUGGAUCUGUGCCAUAGGACGUGGUCCACCUUCGGGUGCGUACUACGCUCCUAGGCUUUUUGCUGGUUUUCCCGUCGUAGCCUUCACUGGUUGCGGCGGGUGGCUGGCGAGUUUACUUUGAGAAAAUCAGAGUGCUCAAUACAGGCGUAUCGCUUGAAUGAUUGUGCAUGGAAUAAUAGAAAAGGAUUUCGGUCCUCUUUUAUUGGUUUUGUGGACUGAGAUAAUGGUUAACAGGGACAAACGGGGGCAUUCGUAUCUCUGCGUGAGAGGUGAAAUUCUUGGACCGUAGAGAGACGCCCUACUGCGAAAGCAUUUGCCAAGAAUGUCUUCAUUAAUCAAGAACGAAAGUCAGAGGUUCGAAGGCGAUCAGAUACCGCCCUAGUUCUGACCGUAAACGAUGCCAACUAGCGAUCCGCCGGUGGAUUUUUAGCCCUGGUGGGUAGCUUCCCGGAAACGAAAGUCUUCCGGUUCCGGGGGAAGUAUGGUUGCAAAGCUGAAACUUAAAGGAAUUGACGGAAGGGCACCACCAGGAGUGGAGCCUGCGGCUUAAUUUGACUAAGGGC
This 685-nucleotide ribosomal RNA is filed under the name nematode environmental sample AGO-2003. Its description in RNAcentral is "SSU rRNA". It matches the Rfam family "Eukaryotic small subunit ribosomal RNA", at positions 514 to 1206 of the family's 1831-position model. Lineage: Eukaryota; Metazoa; Nematoda. The record is from RNAcentral.